Molecule: ribosomal RNA, 402 nt
Filed under: Klebsiella pneumoniae
Lineage: Bacteria; Pseudomonadati; Pseudomonadota; Gammaproteobacteria; Enterobacterales; Enterobacteriaceae
Description: bacterial SSU rRNA
Rfam family: Bacterial small subunit ribosomal RNA
Source: RNAcentral
GCAGGCCCUACCAAUUGCAAGUUCGAGCGGUAGCACAGAGAGCUUGCUCUCGGGUGACGAGCGGCGGACGGGUGAGUAAUGUCUGGGAAACUGCCUGAUGGAGGGGGAUAACUACUGGAAACGGUAGCUAAUACCGCAUAAUGUCGCAAGACCAAAGUGGGGGACCUUCGGGCCUCAUGCCAUCAGAUGUGUCCAGAUGGGAUUCGCUAGUAGGUGGGGUAACGGCUCACCUAUCCGACGAUCCCUAGCUGUUCUGAGAGGAUGACCAGCCACAGUCGAACUGAGACACGGUCCAGACUCCGAGCGGAGGCAGCAGUGGGGAGAAUUGCGCAAUGGGCGCAAGCCUGAUGAUGCAGCCAUGCCGCGUGUGUGAAGAAGGCCUUCGGGUUGUAAAGCACUUUC